AUCGAAGUACCAACAUAUAACCCCUACAAGCAAGGUAUCAAAACACCAAUGUACAAUCUCUACUGGCAAGACAUUGAAACAUAGUCUGACUACAAGUUCAAAUCUAUCUCAAAUCAAAACUAUUUUUCUUUAAAACAUUUUUCAUGUCCCAAAAGAGCUACAUUAUUUACCUUACAAGCAGACCCAACCAAUAGAUCCAAUUAAUUUUAAAAAUCUUUCUCAAAGCCUAAUAUUUAUAAAUUAUAUUUUUAUCAAAUUUUACUAUGAUUAUUUUUAAAAAUAAAUAUUUUAAGUUCUGACACCUUCAUAUGGUAGGCCA
This 319-nucleotide long non-coding RNA is filed under the name Elaeis guineensis (African oil palm). RNAcentral's name for it is "long non-coding RNA (EGUI_LNC060570)". The record is from RNAcentral. Lineage: Eukaryota; Viridiplantae; Streptophyta; Magnoliopsida; Arecales; Arecaceae.